UCAAACAUGGAUAAACAGUAUUAUAAAGUUUUCAAAGUUUGUUCAUUGAUGAACAAAACUGAUCUUCAAGCAGAAACUCAGUUUUAAAGGUAGUUAAAGUUCUUUGCUCAGUGAACUUGUUUUUGUUUAUCUUGUGCACAUGUAUUAAAUUAUUAUGCAAAUAGAAAUGAUACAAAUGUCAUAAUUGUUUGAAGUAAACCGUCAUUAAUAGACAGUACAUAUGUUUUUCUUAGGUGAAAUAUUUUGGGAAGAGGUUAGCUUCAGCAACCCGGAUAUAGAAAAUUGGACCAGAGGUACUUGAGAUACAAAUGUAGCUGCUGAUUAGAGGUGAGCUGUAGAAUGAGUUGGGAGGUUGACAAAUAAUCAAAUAUCUUAUGUUAGUACCAGAGUCAUACUACAGUUGUUAUCAAAGUGAGUUAUGGAAGGAGGUUGAGACUGACGUGCAGCUUACAGUUUAAAAUGCCAGAUUAAUAUUACAGUGAAUAUCGCAGUGAGCUGGUGAUGAGAUUGCCUAUUUAGAUCCUGUUACCCAUAAAGGUUGAUGUUGUUUACAGAUAAGUUUGUUACAGCUGAAGUGUGAUACUAGAGUAAGUGAUUUCCAUUAUAUGUGUUGAAAUACAUACAUUUUAUUAUGCUUACUUUAGCAAAAGGCUCAAACUGGGCCUCCGUGGCCAAGUGGUUAAUGUCGCUGACUUUAAAUCACUUGCCCCUCAUCGAUGUGGGUUCGAGCCUUACUUGGGGCGUUGAAUUUUUCAUGUGAAGAAGCCAUCCAACUGGCUUAUGGAAGGUCGGUGGUUCUACCCAGGUGCCCGCUCGUGAUGAGAUAGUGCACGCAGGCCGAGGUGCACCUGGGGUCUUCCUCCACCAUUAAAGCUGGAAAGUCGCAAUAUGACCUAUCAUGCGUGGGUGCGACGUUAAAUUCAACAAAAAUGUUAAUAAAAUGAAUACUAAUUCCAGAGCUGUUAAUUCUUUUUAAUGUCCAGUAAUAAAGUUCUGUGUGUAUUUCUAUUAUAAAAUCGAUCAUAUUGAGCAAACAACAUUAUCUACCUAUAAAACUGAGAAACUGAGCUUGAUUUUAAAUUUUGUUAAUCAAUGAACAAUGCAGUAUUGUAUUAUUUAAUCAUCACAACAAGUAUUGCCAAAACAACCAGUUUUAUGCUAUUUUUAGCUCACCAUAUCACAGGGACUGACCUCCAGAUUGAUUGAAAACAAAAAGAAGAAGAAAAUGUUAUGAUGGCUAUAUUUCUUAAUGAUGCUUUAAACCAAAUUUUACCCCAGAUAGUCCGCUUGACAAGUUUUUCCAUUCAAAAGUGAAAAGCCUGUCUCACAGUGUACCAAAGUUAAACUGACCUAAUUGUAAAACUUAUAAAGGGUCUUUAAAAAAACUCUUUUUAUCAAAAUGGUCUUAAUUUAAUUUACUGCUGGGAAUUUCAUGAUUUAGACAUUGUUUUAAUGUCUUGAUUAGCAUUGUUUUAAAUUGAUCUUAAACUUUAAACAACAAUAAAUGUUUCAUGUUCAUAACUUCACCAACUCAACUUCAGUAUGAAAAAAAAAGAUUGUUUUUAUUCAAAACCUAGAUUGUAGAACUGCAUGUACCUUUCACAAACUUAAAUCAUUAGAUCAUUACCUUUCAGCUGUAACUUAUUUUCCUUUUUGCAGGUGUUGUGCGCAGAUUUUGCAAUAACUUCUGAUAUGUAAUUGCAUGAACUUUGAUCCUUUCAGUAGACUUGGUCAAAAGUCGUUGUCUGUGUAUUGUAUGCACAGCUGUUGUUAAUGAACAUUACUGAAAUGAAGGACAACUGUCAUUUUUCAGUUGUGACCUUAUUAAAGUAUUGUAGAAUUGUUCAAAAUGAGUAAAAUGAUAUACAGUGAUAUGAAUGUAAGAUAACACAUGUUUUUUCUUGUUUUAACAUCUGCAAAAUCCCGAGGGAUUGAUUGGUACCAGAGCCUGUCAAGGCGAGGGUACCAACUAUUUCCAAGGGAUUAUGAAGAUAUUAUAACACGAUAAGAACAUGCGCUAACGCUAUUCUAGCAUAAAACAUAUUUUCUUUCAACGUUUUGAUAUGUGACUCUGAAACUUUGUACAGUUCAUUACCAUCAUGGUUACACAUUGCCAUUUAGUGCAAGACUUAUCGAAGUCCACAAAUACAGGAACAUUUUUUGGUUAAUUUAUUUUUAGCACACCUGAGCCAAAGGCUCAUGGUGAGCUUUUGUGACUGCUCAAUGUCUGUCAUCUGUCGUGCGUCGUCCGUCCGUCAACAUUUUCUAAAAAAAUCUUCUUGAAAACCACUAGACAGAUUUAUAUCAAACUUCACAGGAAUGAUCCUUGGGUGGUCUCCUUUCAAAAUUUUUCAAAGAAUGAAUUCCAUGCAGAACUCUGGUUGCCAUGGCAACUGAAAGGAAAAACUUAAAAAAUCUUUUCCAAAACUGCAAGGCGUAGAGUCUUGAUAUUUAGCAUGUGACAUCAUCUAUUGCUCCUCUAUCAAAAUUGUUCAAAUUAUGCCCCUAGGGUGAAAAGAGGCCCCGUCCCGGGGGUCACAAGUUUGACAUAGACUUAUAUAGGAAAAAACUUUAAAAAUCUGCUUGUCUAAAACCACAAGACAUAGGCCUUUGAUAUUUGUUAUGUAGCAUUACCUUGAAGUCCUCUGCCACAAUUGUUCAAAUUAUAAAUCUGGGAUGAAAAGAGGUCCUGCCCAGUGGGGUCUCAAGUUUUACAUAGACCUACAUGUAUAUAGGAAAAACUUUAAAAAAUCUUCUUGCUUGAAUCUGCAAUGCCUAUGCUUUUGAUAUUUGGUAUGUUGCAUUGCCUUGUAGUCCUCUACCAAAGUUGUUCAAAUUAUGCCCGUGGGGUGAAAAGAGGCACUGCCCUUGGGGUCCUAAACUUAACCUGGACUUACAUAGAGAAAAAAAAUCUUCUUGUCUGAAAGCUCAAUGCCUAGGCCUUUGAUAUUAGGUAUGUAGCAUUGCCUAGUGGAUGGCUAACAAGAUUGUUCAAAUUAUUUCCCUACGGUUGAAAAGAGGCCCCUCCCUGGGGAUCACUUGUUAUAUGAGUUAUAAAGGAAUAAAUACUUCAAAAGUUGUCAGAUCAUAUUUCCUACACUGUUUUAUUGUAAUUACCUGAUGAUCCCAAGUGAUUAGGGGUCACCUGACUGUGACCUUGACCUACUGACCUACUUUCUUGUUUUUUAAGAUACAGCCUUGUAAUUUGGAUGACAUGUACAGUUUUGCACACCGAUUUUAAAACUGACAUAGAUAUGACCUUCUGACUUACUUUCUAAUAUUUAAGCAUCAGUUUGGCAUUUUAAACAUAUGGCUCAUAUUAGUCAAGUGAGCGAUUCAGGGUCAUCAUGACCCUCUUGUUUUCUUUUGUCUGAAAAUCUGUGGUAAUAUUUUGACUCCAUCCUUCAAUCAAUUCUUCGAAUAGUCGAGCGUGCUAUCAUCCAACAGCUCUUGCUUUUUUUUUUACUUUUAUGACAAUUCCUUUUGAUUUAUACAUUUGGGGCCGUAAUAUGAUUGCGUUUUGCCAUGGAAUGCACUUAUAUAAAAAGAUGUGAAAAUCUCUCUAUUAACACAUGUUUUUUUUUCUGUUAAAACACCCCCAAAAAGAGCAGUUUUAUGCUAGAAUGACCUGCCCAGUAGUUAAGAACCCUUAUAAAUGGUAAUUCUCACACUGAUUUUGUUGGUGUUUUUUUCAACAGGUUUACUGAGCACUUGAAAAGAUCCUAUUUUGAGGUACAUUUGAAAGUUUGAGUCUCCUUUCAUAUUGACUAACAUAAAAAAAGUUUUAAACAAAAAUUGUAUAGUAGUAUAUUUAUCAGUUGGCAUGAAAUUUGUUCAUAGAGAGCUUUUGGUAUAUUUGGAUGAUCCGGUGUUAGUUGCUCUUCAUCAAAACGUUACUUAAUCAUCUGCUCUUAAACUUCUGGUCAUAAAUACAUCAAACUUAGACUGUGCCUGUGGUAUGACAUAUAUCUUUCAAGACUGAUGAACCACUUGACAGAAUCCUUGGGCCUAGGAUCCUAAAUUUUAGUACACAGGUGCAACAUCACAAAAUACAUGUCAAGUUUGAAAUGGAGAUCAUCGGGUCAAAGAACAAGGUCACAAAGACCUUGGACAGGUAAAAGGUUUCUGCAUGAUAACUUGAAAAUGCUUGGGCCUAGGAACAUAAACUAUGUUACACAGAUGGAACAUCAUAAAAUACAGGUCAAGUUCAACUUUGAGGUUAAUUAGGUCAAAGGUCAAGGUUACAUUUACACAGAAAUUUUUAACUGUUUCAGGAUGAUUACUUGAGAACAAAUGAGUCUAGGAUCAUAGUUUUUAGUACACAGGUGUAACAUGAUUAAAUACAGGUCUAGGUCAAUAUGACCUGAAAAAGUUAAACCAUGUCUGGAUGAUAACCUAAGAAAGGUUUGGCCUAGGAUCAUGCAAAUUCUUACAGAGAUUGGUCAUGACCAGCAGAUGCCCCUAAUUAUUUUGAGGUCAGUAGGACACAGGUCAAUGUCACAGUGACCAGGAACUUAUAAACAGGGAUUUGACAUUGACUUUAGAACAGUUGGGCCUAGGAACACGAAACUUACCAGGGAUGUUGGUCAUGACCAGUUUAUGACCUAUAUUGAUUUCGAGUUCGCAAGUUCAAGUGUCAGAGUGACAGGUACAUUUAAACUGUUUAUGGACAAUAUCUUGAGAACUCCUCGGCCAAGGAUCAUGAAACUUCAUAGGAGUUUGAUCAUGACCAGUAGAUGACCCCUUUUGAUUUUGAAGUCAUUAGGUCAAAGGUCAAGCAAAAUCAACCUUUGACGUAGGCUUAGUUUUGGGACAAGGCCAUAUUGUGGUAUAAUUCGUCACUCCUGUGACAACUCUAAGUUCUGGCUCUCCCAGAAAAGCAACGAGAAAAAAAUUAAAACAACUUUUUAGCUCACCUGAGCACGAAGUGCUCAAAGGUGAGCUUUAGUGAUCACCCUGUGUCCGCCGUCCGUCGUCCGUCCGUCGUCUGUCGUCAACAAUUUGACUGUUAACACUCUAAAUUCACAUUUUUGGCCCAAUCUUAAUGAAGCUUGGUCAGAAUGUUACCCUCCAUAAAGUAUUGGACGAGUUUGAUAUUGGGUCAUCUGGGGUCAAAAACUAGGUCACCAGCUCAAAUCAAAGGAAAACCUUGUUAACAUUCUAGAGGUCACAUUUUUGGCCCAUUCUUAAUGAAACUUAGUCAGAAUGUUACCCUUAAUAAAGUCUUGGAAGAGUUCAAUAUUGGAUCACCUGGGGUCAAAAACUAGGUCACCAGGUCAAAUCAAAGGAAAAGCUUGUUAACACUCUAGAGGUCACAAUUUUGGCCCAAUUUUAAUGAAACUUGGUCAGAAUGUUAUCCUUAAAAAAGUCUUGGACGAGGUUGAUAUUGGGUCAUCUGGGUUAAAAAAAAACUAGGUCAUCAAGUCAAAUCAAAUGAAAAGCUUUUAAACACUGUAGAGGCCGCAUUUAUGACUAUAUCUUCAUGAAAAUUGGUCAGAAUGUUAAUAUUGAUGAUCUAAAGGUCCACUUCGAAUCUGGAUCAUGUAGGAUUAAAAACUAGGUCACCCGGUCAAAUCAAAGGGAAAGUUAGAGGCCACAUUUAUGAACAUAUCUUAAUGAAACUUGGUCAGAAUGUUUAUCCUGAUGAUCUUUAGGUCAAGUUUAAAUCUGGGUCAGCUGAGGUCAAAAACUAGGUCAAUAGGCCAAAUCAAAGGAAAAGCUUGUUAACACUCUAGAGGCGACAUUUAUGACUGUAUCUUCAUGAAACUUAAUCAGAAUGUUAAACUUGAUGAUCUUUAGGUCAAGUUCGAAUCUGGGUCAUGUGGGGUCAAAAACUAGGUCACGAGGUCAGAUCAAAAGAAAACCUAGUUAACACUUUAGAGGCCACAUUUAUGAACAUAUCUUGAUAAAACUUGGUCAGAAUGUUAAUCUUGAUGAUCUUUAGGUCAGUAGGUCAGGUGAGCGAUACAGGGCCUUCAUGGCCUUCUUGUAAUAAACCUUAACAUGGAUUUUAUCAAAACUUAGACACAAUGUGGAAAGGUGUAGGUCCUUGUCAUGUGAGCUACAGAUUAACGCAGAGGAAUAAAAUAGUGGUUUUUGAAAUUUUAUAAGUCUCUUGUAAAAUAAAAUAAUAUGUCACAUUAAAGUUGAAAUGUCCGUUUUUCUUUUAAUGCUAUUUUGUUUCAAUGCAUGCACCAGGUACACUUGAAACUUUGUAUUUGAACAAUAUGAAAGGAGAUUAAAUUCAUUUUUGAAUCCUUUUGCAGUUUUGUAUAUUAUUGUAGGGAUAACGCAUUUUUUUCGUGUUAAAACAUCUGCAGAAUCUCAAGGGAUUGGUUUGUAUCGCCCACCAAUGAUUCUCGAGGGAUUCUGACGAUGUUAUAACGUGAAAAGAACAUACAUUUACGCUAUUCUAGCAUAAAAACCCAUAAAAACCAAGUAAAUGAAAAUAGUGUACCGCAAUACCAUCAGAUUUCCAUGAAGUACGAGGUAAAGUCUACGUUGGUUUUUCAUGCAUACGUCAUUUCUUUUUUAAUGAUCUGUUUUGGGGCCGUAAAACGUUUACGCCAUAAAAACCAAGUAAAAGAAAAUAUUGUACCGUAACACCAUCUGAUUUACAUGAAAUGCGAGGUAAAGUCUACGUUAGUUUUUCAUGCCUAAGUCAUUUCUUUUUAGCUCACCUGAGCACGAAGUGCUCAAAGGUGAGCUUUUGUGAUCGCCCUGUGUCCGUCGUCCGUCGUCAACAAUUUGACUGUUAACACUCUAGAGGUCACAAUUUUGGCACAAACUUAAUGAAACUUGGAUAAUAUGUUACCCUCAAUAAAAUCUUGGAAGAGUUCGAUAUUGGAUCAUCUGGGUUCAAAAACUAGGUCACCAGGUCAAAUCAAAGGAAAAGCUUGUUAACACUCUAGAGGUUAAAAUUUGGACCCAAUCUUAUGGUAUCCGAUCCAUGAAUAGCGCAUAUCACUUCGGCAGUUUUCGGACGAUGUCUGUAUUUUCCGGAAUUUUCAUUCAGGAACUUAGUUUUAUUUUAUUUUUUACAUUUUUGAAUAUCAUUUAAUAAAACCAUUAAUAAAAAGACACAUACAUAAAGAAUUUUUACCAACAGUUUUCUAUUAUCAAAAAAUUACGGACUUCUCGUCUACUCUCUUACAACGAGAUGCAAUGGCGGCGCCCAUGAAAAAACAUUGCGAAUGCCGAUUUAAAAAAAAACAACAAACAAUGACAAACGUUUCACAUUAGAAUUAACAGUCUAUCGUGUGAUCAUAUGGUACGAUGGGCGCCAAAAAAUUAUCAUUUAUUGUGCUAACAAGACCUGUCGGCUCUGAAUAUGCUGUGAAUAGCCCAAAACAUCCGGGUUGACGUCAUUUCGACAUGUACAAAAUUAUGAUCAGAUGAAAUAGAAAAAGUAGACAUCGAAAACAACGAUUGUCCACGAAACGCUUGAUUUAGCAAUGGUCUGUGUUGAUGCUAUUUUCUCUGAAAGCAAACUGUCAGUAAUCUGCAGCCGAUUCAGCUACUGUACCAGAAACUUGAAGAAAGGCGUAAAAAUGAGCUGCCAUUACCAAAGUACCUCAGAUAUGUAGGAAACAUGACAUUCGGGCAUUUCUGUUCUGUUGAAAUAAUACUUGAGCUGGAACCAUGACAUGAAAGAAGACCUUAGCCUAGGAAAUAUAUGCAAGCGGAGAUUGAGACAUUAAAUUUGUAAAAUGAAAAGACUUAUGAAGCAAAUAGCAAGUUCUGAAUGCUUCAAACUAACUGUUAGUAGACUUUGGAUGAUUUACUGCAAACAUAUGGCAAAAAAGACUCAGAUACAAAUGUAUCAUAACAGUGCUUACAUGCCAAACUUCCAGGGCAUCUCUACAGGAGAAUUCAGUUGAAAGUCCAGGAGAUUUCAGAAUUUACAUUGUACCUAGUUUAAAAGUAUAACUAAAAAGACAGUUAUGAA
Mercenaria mercenaria is the source of this 7948-nucleotide long non-coding RNA. RefSeq lists it as uncharacterized. The transcript has 6 exons. The record is from RefSeq and is a predicted model, not a curated record. Lineage: Eukaryota; Metazoa; Mollusca; Bivalvia; Venerida; Veneridae.